Molecule: ribosomal RNA, 272 nt
Filed under: Escherichia coli
Lineage: Bacteria; Pseudomonadati; Pseudomonadota; Gammaproteobacteria; Enterobacterales; Enterobacteriaceae
Description: partial 16S ribosomal RNA
Rfam family: Bacterial small subunit ribosomal RNA
Source: RNAcentral
AAAUUGAAGGGUUUGAUCAUGGCUCAGAUUGAACGCUGGCGGCAGGCCUAACACAUGCAAGUCGAACGGUAACAGGAAGCAGCUUGCUGCUUUGCUGACGAGUGGCGGACGGGUGAGUAAUGUCUGGGAAACUGCCUGAUGGAGGGGGAUAACUACUGGAAACGGUAGCUAAUACCGCAUAACGUCGCAAGACCAAAGAGGGGGACCUUCGGGCCUCUUGCCAUCGGAUGUGCCCAGAUGGGAUUAGCUUGUUGGUGGGGUAACGGCUCACC